GUAAUAUAUUUCAGUUACAAGUGCAGCAGGAAAAUCUCAUGCUCAACUGAAUAUUUGCAGUAAAGCAACCUCAUCAGUAGAGUCAGAGAAGGAGAACAAUAUGAAAAAAAGGAAUGAGAAAUUGUAGGACUCAGAAAGAAGGCAUCUGUUGGAGUGUUUAAGGGCACCGGCACAAUUUAUCAGUGCUGCAUGAUCCAGACAGCAAAGAGGGAAAAGACCACAGAUGAUCAUAAGCUUUCACCAUCGAUAGCAACCUGACGUGGCCUGCUUCAAAGACCAAAGGUCCAUCUAGCCCUGAACAGAACAGAUAUCCAGAAAACAGGAUGGAAAUAUUUGGGCCAUGUUAAGAAUGAAGCCAGAGUAUCUGCAAUGGCAAGCAUGCCAUUGGGCAACUGGAGGAACACAUAAGAGGGGCCAGCUGAACAUAAUAAUCCCACCAUCAAAUUCCUGAGAGGGAAAAUUUAACAAAGUGUGAACAGAAUGCAAAUGAAGAGUUCUAAGAACUUCAAAGUGAGAGAGAGAGAGAAACAGCAGGGGAGGAAGACUCUUAGCUGGAGGUGCAUUUCAAACAUUUGUUUGACGACUUUCAGGGGGCAGAGAAGGCACCCAAGCACCCUUCACUGAGGCAGUAAAAGGACAGUGUUUUUUCUUCAUGAAAAAGGGGCCUCCGCAAGGUUGAUCUGAGAACCAUGAAGAGAAUUUUGGGUGACAAAAAACUUCUUUAGACAGGAUAUUUACCUGUUAGUUAAAUUUAGUGUCUAAAAAGCAUGUUAUGAUUUAGUUUUAUAUGUAACCACAUGUU
Molecule: long non-coding RNA, 802 nt
Organism: Mauremys reevesii (Reeves's turtle)
Lineage: Eukaryota; Metazoa; Chordata; Testudines; Geoemydidae
Exons: 5
Source: RefSeq, a predicted model, not a curated record